CCAGACUCCUACGGGAGGCAGCAGUGGGGAAUAUUGGGCAAUGGGCGAAAGCCUGACCCAGCGACGCCGCGUGAGGGAAGAAGGUCUUCGGAUUGUAAACCUCUUUCAGCAGGGAAGAAGAAAGUGACGGUACCUGCAGAAGAAGUCACGGCUAACUACGUGCCAGCAGCCGCGGUAAUACGUAGGGAGCAAGCGUUGUCCGGAAUUACUGGGCGUAAAGGGCGCGUAGGUGGGCGCUUAAGUCAGGUGUGAAAACUCCGGGCUCAACCUGGAGACUGCACUUGAAACUGGGUGUCUUGAGGGCAGGAGAGGAAAGUGGAAUUCCUAGUGUAGCGGUGAAAUGCGUAGAUAUUAGGAGGAACACCAGUGGCGAAGGCGACUUUCUGGACUGUACCUGACGCUGAGGCGCGAAAGCGUGGGUAGCGAACGGGAUUAGAUACCCCAGUA
RNAcentral lists this ribosomal RNA (447 nucleotides) under uncultured bacterium. Its description in RNAcentral is "bacterial SSU rRNA". It matches the Rfam family "Bacterial small subunit ribosomal RNA", at positions 331 to 792 of the family's 1533-position model. The record is from RNAcentral.